RNAcentral lists this ribosomal RNA (440 nucleotides) under uncultured bacterium. RNAcentral's name for it is "partial 16S ribosomal RNA". It matches the Rfam family "Bacterial small subunit ribosomal RNA", at positions 338 to 795 of the family's 1533-position model. The record is from RNAcentral.
CCUACGGGUGGCAGCAGUAGGGAAUAUUGCACAAUGGGGGAAACCCUGAUGCAGCAACGCCGCGUGGAGGAUGAAGGGUUUCGGAGUGUAAACCCCUGUUGUUAGAGAAGAUAAUGACGGUUUCUAACGCAUAAGCACCGGCUAACCCCGUGCCAGCAGCCGCGGUAAUACGGAGGGUGCAAGCGUUACUCGGAAUCACUGGGCGUAAAGAGCGCGUAGGCGGGACAGCAAGUCAGAUGUGAAAUCCUAUGGCUUAACCAUAGAACUGCAUUUGAAACUGUUAUUCUAGAGUAUGGGAGAGGUAAGGGGAAUUCUUGGUGUAGGGGUGAAAUGCGUAGAGAUCAAGAGGAAUACUCGUUGCGAAGGCGACCUGCUGGAACAUAACUGACGCUGAUGCGCGAAAGCGUGGGGAGCGAACAGGAUUAGAUACCCCUGUAGUC